RNAcentral lists this long non-coding RNA (2391 nucleotides) under Olea europaea subsp. europaea. The record is from RNAcentral. Lineage: Eukaryota; Viridiplantae; Streptophyta; Magnoliopsida; Lamiales; Oleaceae.
UGGUGGAGGUUUAAUUCGAACUUAAACAAACAAGAACAAUUGUAAAUAUGACAGAGGAUACGUAACACUCCCCUUUUUCCAGGACUAUAAUUAUUGUAACACCUGUAAAUGUUCUAAAAUUAUUUAAAUUUGUCCACUGUAUACGAACAAAAAGUUCUAUUUUGGUUCUGUAGCUAGGAGUACUGCUACCACAGUAAUCACAAGUUGAAAAAUCAGAAAUCUUUUUUCCUUUCUUCCUUAAUCAACUUCAUGAAUCAGUUGUAAAAUAAAUUUGGUUUGGUCAUUUCAUUAUUUUUUAUCUUGGCUUGUUAAUUAUUAUAAUUAAGUGAGUCCAUAAGCCCGUAUCUAUAAUAAUUCAUAUUCUAGAAUAAAUCAUGCUCUAGAUUAAUUCGCUAUCUAGAAUUGCAUUGUAUUAGAGUAUUUAGUGAAUGUUAGGUAGAUGUAUAUAUUUUAGCAUGUAAAGGAGUCCUCUGAGUACUAUAAAUAGAGGUGCCCUCUUGUCCUUUGUAACAAGCUAAUUUAGAGAUAAAAUACAAAUUCCUUCUCUAGCCUCUUCAACCUCUUAAAAAUUAUCCUAAAGUACUCUAUAAAUAAAUCUUCUUCCUAACAAAUUGGUAUCAGAGCCACAAGAUCCUUUGAAGGAGAUGGAAAAUGGUAUAAUUCCCUUUCAAGUUCCGUCACUCGAUAAGAGAAACUAUAAUAAAUGGAGGAUUAAAAUGAAGCAUCACUCAAAUAACAAGACCUAUGAAAGAUCGUAGAUAAGGGGUACGAUGAGCCAAAUUAUGAGGCUACUAUAGUUCAAGAUAAAAGGGACGCCUUGAAGGAUUUAAGAAAGAGAGACAAAGAAGCUUUCUAAACAAAAAAAAGCUAUCUAUCUUAUUUAUUAAUCACUUGAUGAUAAUGGAUUUGAGAAAUUUUCGAAUGCAAGCACCCAAAGAAGCUUGGGAUAGGGUUCAAACAUUCUACAAAGGAGGGGAGAAAGUCAAGAAGUUGUACCCAAACUUUAAGACGUGAGCUCGAAUCUCUAUAAAUGAAAGAAUCUAAUUCUAUUUUCGAAUAUUUUUCUAGAGUAUUUAGUGGCUAUGACAUCUAAGGUUCAGGCAUCUCAACUGUGGUAUGAGGUUGUAAUCCAAGAACAGAAUGUUGAAGGAGUUGCAUUUAUUAAUCACUAGAAUUAACUUUGCGAAGGAUGUUUACUAUGAAACAUUUUCGAAAGGGCUUUCCAAAAAAAGUGAGCCCAAGUGAAAAGAAGCUAAUAGACCUCAUUCGUAUCAAUGCAUGUAGGCCGAUCCAUCCGUCCUCUCUAGGAAAGAAAAACUAUUUCCUUCUGUUUAUUGGAAGGAUAGAGUGGAAGAAAGUCCGACAUCUCACACUUGAAAGCUCCCUUGUGUAACAUUCCAAAAUUCAUUUACUUCCUUAAAUUUUGUUAAUUUAACUUUGAUCAUUAGCAAAUUAAUUGGUCUAUGCUUAGCCUUGUCAUUACACUAAAGUUCAUUAAUUAAAAUGAUAAUACAAUAUAUGUAUAUAUUUUUUUGAAAAAAGAAUUAUUUCCUAAUUAUGCAUUUUUUAAUUUCUUCUAAGUAUUAUGCGUGCCAAAUAAUUGGGUAUAGUAAAUGUUGAUAAAAAUAUAUUAAUAUGGGUCUCAUUUUGUAGACCAGGUUAAAUUACUUAAAUUGGGUCCAAGAGAAAUUUAUUUUGAACGCAUUAUGUCAAGUUAUUGUGGUUGAAACGAAAUUUAUGUAACCAUUUAAUAUAAUAUUAAUUAUUAUUUUUCUUUGCAUUGAUUGGUUGACAAAUGUGUGAGAUUUCAAGUGUGGUAAAAAAAUAACCAAUUUUAUAACUUUGUUAGUUUUGAUAUUUAUUAGUGGUAUACGUGUGUGAAGUUACGAGAACAUGUGGUGGUUUUUCUCAAAUACUUGGCCAUUUUUUUUACCCACUCACCAAUCACAUUUAUAUGAUACUUAUACACACGGUUUUUUUAAUACAUACAAAGUUAUCAACUCUAUAUAUUUUGCUAUUCUUCAAGUCAAGGAAAAUAGGGAAAUUCUUUUUCAAAAUUCUUAGCAAAUUCAUAUUUUUAAGGUAAGAUAAAUAAGUGCAGUGGUUAAAUUUUUAUUCUCCAUGAUAUCAAUAUUAUGAUUGUUAAACAUCAAUAAUUCAUUCUUAUUGUCAUAGCAUGUUCAACUAUAAUAAAAGAAAAACAUACCUCCAAUAGAUUGUGAUUGGUUUUCCAUGAAUUUUUUGGACUGCAAAAGAAGAAGAAGAAUUGUUAUGGAGAGAACUACUCUCUACUCCUCUUGAAACCCUAGAAGCCAAUAUCCCUCUUCUUGCUUGAGAGAAAUGAAGAAAGGGCUAUAACAUAUAUAUAUAUAUAUAUGAACUGGGUUGAGA